GAUGAAGAACGUAGCGAAAUGCGAUAAGUAAUGUGAAUUGCAGAAUUCAGUGAAUCAUCGAAUCUUUGAACGCACAUUGCGCCCGCCAGUAUUCUGGCGGGCAUGCCUGUUCGAGCGUCAUUACAACCCUCAGGCCCCCGGGCCUGGCGUUGGGGAUCGGCGGAAGCCCCCUGUGGGCACACGCCGUCCCUCAAAUACAGUGGCGGUCCCGCCGCAGCUUCCAUUGCGUAGUAGCUAACACCUCGCAACUGGAGAGCGGCGCGGCCAUGCCGUAAAACACCCAACUUCUGAAUGUUGACCUCGAAUCAGGUAGGAAUACCCGCUGAACUUAAGCAUAUCAAUAAGCCGGAGGA
This 353-nucleotide unclassified non-coding RNA is filed under the name soil metagenome. RNAcentral describes it as "partial contains 5.8S ribosomal RNA, internal transcribed spacer 2, and large subunit ribosomal RNA". The stretch from base 1 to 120 matches the Rfam family "5.8S ribosomal RNA", at positions 35 to 154 of the family's 154-position model. The record is from RNAcentral.